RNAcentral lists this ribosomal RNA (369 nucleotides) under uncultured organism. Its description in RNAcentral is "bacterial SSU rRNA". It matches the Rfam family "Bacterial small subunit ribosomal RNA", at positions 526 to 896 of the family's 1533-position model. The record is from RNAcentral.
CAGAGGUCUCAAGCGUUGUUCGGAAUUACUGGGCGUAAAGGGUGCGCAGGCCGCGCGGGCAGUCAAAUGUGUAAUUCAGGGGCUCAACCCCUGCACUGCGCUUGAUACUUCCGCGCUCGAGCUUUGGAGAGGAGUCUGGAAUUCUCGGUGUAGCAGUGAAAUGCGUGGAUAUCGAGAAGAACACUUAGGGCGUAGGCAAGACUCUGGACAAAUGCUGACGCUCAUGCACGAAGGCUAGGGUAGCGAACGGGAUUAGAUACCCCGGUAGUCCUAGCUGUAAACGGCGCACGUUUGGUGUGGGAGGCAACCCCUUCCGUGCCGAAGCUAACGCGAUAAACGUGCCGCCUGGGUAGUACGGUCGCAAGACUA